CGACGAGUUUGAUCCUGGCUCAGAUUGAACGCUGGCGGAAUGCUUUACACAUGCAAGUCGAAGGGUAGAGGGGGCAACCCCUUGAGAGUGGCGAACGGGUGAGUAAUAUAUCGGAACGUGCCCAGUCGUGGGGGAUAACGUAGUGAAAAUUACGCUAAUACCGCAUACGAUCUAAGGAUGAAAGCGGGGAUCGCAAGACCUCGCGCGACUGGAGCGGCCGAUAUCAGAUUAGGUAGUUGGUAGGGUAAAGGACCGUACCCAAGCCGAACGAUCUGUAGCUGGUCUGAGAGGACGACCAG
Molecule: ribosomal RNA, 299 nt
Filed under: uncultured Limnohabitans sp.
Lineage: Bacteria; Pseudomonadati; Pseudomonadota; Betaproteobacteria; Burkholderiales; Comamonadaceae
Description: partial 16S ribosomal RNA
Rfam family: Bacterial small subunit ribosomal RNA
Source: RNAcentral